UAGGGAAUCUUCUGCAAUGGACGAAAGUCUGACCGAGCAACGCCGCGUGAGUGAAGAAGGUUUUCGGAUCGUAAAACUCUGUUGUUAGAGAAGAACAAGGACGUUAGUAACUGAACGUCCCCUGACGGUAUCUAACCAGAAAGCCACGGCUAACUACGUGCCAGCAGCCGCGGUAAUACGUAGGUGGCAAGCGUUGUCCGGAUUUAUUGGGCGUAAAGCGAGCGCAGGCGGUUUCUUAAGUCUGAUGUGAAAGCCCCCGGCUCAACCGGGGAGGGUCAUUGGAAACUGGGGGACUUGAGUGCAGAAGAGGAGAGUGGAAUUCCAUGUGUAGCGGUGAAAUGCGUAGAUAUAUGGAGGAACACCAGUGGCGAAGGCGGCUCUCUGGUCUGUAACUGACGCUGAGGCUCGAAAGCGUGGGGAGCAAACAGG
Molecule: ribosomal RNA, 429 nt
Filed under: Gemmatimonadota bacterium
Lineage: Bacteria; Pseudomonadati; Gemmatimonadota
Description: Gemmatimonadetes bacterium partial 16S ribosomal RNA
Rfam family: Bacterial small subunit ribosomal RNA
Source: RNAcentral